GAGAGACCUGCGGGGGGAUGUCACAGGCUCAGUACACAACUGCACAGAUGCUCUGUGCGGGGUCAGCUAGUAUUAUCAUAAUCUCUGCGGACAGCUCUCAUUCCGUGUUCCCUCUAAUGGGGAUUCCCAGAUGUUGUUGACUACAAUUCCCAGAAUCCCCAUCUGUAAUGGCUUUGCUUGGGGGGGGUAUGGGAGUUGUAGUCAACAUCUGGAAAUCCCUGUUAGAGGGAAUACUGCUCUCAUUCUAUUUAAUACUCCAUUCUCCUCAGUCCAUGUAUCAGGAUUGUUCCAGGUAUUGGAACAGAUCCUCCAAAAUGUACCCACUGGGUUCACUGAACAUCAGAUAUUAGUUUUUCCUUAUUAUUUAUUUUGGUUUUGGUAUUAGAUAUGAAGAAUAAGCAGCUAACUUAUAUCUUCUGUUCAAGCACUGAGAGAGGUACAUUUUAGAAGAUAUGUUCCAAUAACAAAAAUUACAGAUAAGGGAGGCAUCUCAAACCCAAACACAGACUGCAAAACAAGGAACUGUGCCAUUAAAUGGGUACAUUUGGAGGGCUUGCAGGGGUAUGGGGAGAACAGAUCAGGAGCUGGAUAAAGCCAAGCCACUGGUUUCAAGCACCAUGUAUGUAAGGGCCUGUGUCAAAGCCCAAACUCGUAUGCAGGAGGAGGAUAUGGAGGGAAAGGAGGGAACCAGGCAGAGAAAGCUGGGCUACUCUUCAGCUUUCUGACUGGACACAUGGGUGCUCCUCAUCCUAAGGAACAUCCCAGACAGUGAAUGUAUUUAACUUCAGUGUGGAAAGUUUGAUAUAAUGUAACUGGUUGUGUUGGUUGCUGAAGUCUUGGGAUCAAAGUUUAGGCUUAGCAACAGUUGCUAUGGGAGGGCAGAAUGUUUGUGGUUGCUAAGCGGUGUGGCUAUAGACUCUGACAGGUUGCUGUUGGAGAAAAACAGUUAGCAGUUGGGCUUAGCUGAAGGAGAGUUGAGAGUUGACUAAAGAAGGAAACAUUGGAAGUGAAGAAAGGACUCUUUGCAGAAGCUUAGCAGUUGCUUCUGGAGGAAAAUUCAGCUAUCCUGUAUCACCUGAAUUGGUAGCCGGAGGGAAAAACAAUAUUAUGUGCAGAAUGUCUGGGAACCUCAACGUUACAGACUGGAAUACAAGUAAGUUUCUAUACGUUGACCACUAUCGGAAACAAGAUGCUGGACUUAAUUGAUUUUAAAUUGAAAUGACCUAACUUCCCCAAAUGCCUGCUGGAGGCAGUAAUGGGCUGGAUGAGGGAGAACAAACUGAGGCUGAAUCCAAGCAAGACGGAGUUUCAUUCAGAUUCACGUUCAUGGCAGUUUCCUACACAAUAUUUAUGGGAAUUAAUAUAAGGUUUCCAAAAGGAAUGUGUGCUACAUCAGAGGAAAACUCCUUCAAAAACCUGAACUAUUUUGAAAGUUACAGAAAAAAAGCCUUGAAAAACCUGAGCAGCUAGAUCAAAGAAGAGUUCUUUGCAAGAGCCCAAACCUUUGAAUAUUAAUGAAAAUAAACCUUGUCAAACCUGAA
This is a long non-coding RNA of Hemicordylus capensis (graceful crag lizard), 1541 nucleotides long. RefSeq lists it as uncharacterized. The transcript is spliced from 4 exons. NCBI's taxonomy places the organism in Eukaryota, Metazoa, Chordata, Lepidosauria, Squamata, Cordylidae. The record is from RefSeq and is a predicted model, not a curated record.